This 207-nucleotide microRNA precursor is filed under the name Oryza sativa Japonica Group (Japanese rice). Its description in RNAcentral is "MIR812 microRNA precursor family". It matches the Rfam family "MIR812 microRNA precursor family". Lineage: Eukaryota; Viridiplantae; Streptophyta; Magnoliopsida; Poales; Poaceae. The record is from Rfam by way of RNAcentral.
AAAAAAACAAACCCUGGAUCUACGUGUCCAACGUUUGACUGUCCGUCUUAUAUGAAAUUUUUUUAUAAUUAGUAUUUUCAUUGUUGUUAGAUGAUAAAACAUGAUUAAUACUUUAUGCGUGACUUAUCCUUUUAAUUUUUUUCAUAAUUUUUUCAAAUAAGACGGACGGUCAAACGUUGGACACGGAAACCCAGGGUUUGUCUUUUU